Molecule: ribosomal RNA, 492 nt
Filed under: uncultured bacterium
Lineage: Bacteria
Description: partial 16S ribosomal RNA
Rfam family: Bacterial small subunit ribosomal RNA
Source: RNAcentral
AGUGAACGCUGGCGGUAUGCCUAACACAUGCAAGUCGAACGGCAGCACAGUAAGAGCUUGCUCUUACGGGUGGCGAGUGGCGGACGGGUGAGGAAUACAUCGGAAUCUACUUUUUCGGGGGGGAUAACGUAGGGAAACUUACGCUAAUACCGCAUACGACCUACGGGUGAAAGCAGGGGAUCUUCUGACCUUUCGCGAUGGAAUGAGCCUAUGUCGGAUUAGCUAGUUGGCGGGGUAAAGGCCCACCAAGGCGACGAUGCGUAGCUGAUCUGAGAGGAUGAUCAGCCACACUGGAACUGAGACACGGUCCAGACUCCUACGGGAGGCAGCAGUGGGGAAUCUUGGACAAUGGGCGAAAGCCUGAUACAGCAAUACCGCGUGGGUGAAGAAGGACUUCGGGUUGUAAAGCCCUUUUGUUGGGAAAGAAAAGCAGCAGGUUAAUACCCCGCUGUUCUGACGGUACCCAAAGAAUAAGCACCGGCUAACUUCGUG